Molecule: long non-coding RNA, 2425 nt
Filed under: Homo sapiens (human)
Lineage: Eukaryota; Metazoa; Chordata; Mammalia; Primates; Hominidae
Description: HSALNT0247523
Source: RNAcentral
GUGAGGUGGGCGGGGUCAGCCUGCGGUGGAGGGGAAGGGCCCUAGAGCCGUGGGGAGAGGCAGCCCGUGGCCUGGAGCAGUGGUUGGUGACCUUUGGAGUGGCGGUUGGGCGGUUGGGCGGUUGCAUGGGGCGGCCUGGGACUCGGGGGCGGGGUCAGUCAUAUAAGGCUGUGCCCAGCGCUUUUGGAAGCAGUAAGUCCAGCCCGAGGCUAAGGUGAGAGCGUCUGCCGGGACAGUGUGGCUGGACCCACGUGGCAGGGUGGAUCGGGCGGAGGCCGUCAAGCUAGCCGGAAGGGGCUGUGCUGUCAACCAGCGAGCGCAGGAGGUGUUAACCACCGAAGGGAGGUAGAAUGUUUUUCCCCACCAGAGGAGGCAGCGACCACGUCUCCUCUAUGGAGGCAUUCAAGAGCCGUCCAGCUGAAGCAGCAUCACUGUCUGAGCUCGGAAGGCACAAUCCACAUAGGUCUGCAUGGUCCACCGAGCUGCAUACCCACGGGGCCAGCGGGAGGUGGGCAGCUGCUGGGCUCUCUUCUGAAGCAGACAGGAUCUCACUCUGUUGCUGAGGCUGGAUCACAGCUCCCUGCAACCUUGAACUCUCCCUCAAGCAAUUCUCCCCACUCUGCCUUCCAAAGCACUAGCAUUAUAGGCCUAAGCCACCACUCCCAUCCACUGUAGUGUAAACUGUCUCCUUCAAUGUUUCCAAUAGUUGCGGAGCAGAUCAGAUAAGGGUUCUUCCUGUCUGUUGCUUCAAGUUUCAUUCUCUCUUUAAACAAUACAAGGUUGGCUUCCAUGGUUCCUUCUUAAAGAAUGUUGAAGGUGUGUCUUCAGAUUCAUUUAGUGUUCGUGGAACCCCAGGGAAAGCUGAUGUAAAAACCUCUUUUUUCUCCCAUAUGUCUCAAAAAGUUGUAUUUUCUGGGUCCAAGGGAUCUGCAAGCCUCCUAAAGGCAUUUCCAUUGUCACUACCACCAGGUGUGAACUGUAAUCUGGCACGUAUAGUUCCAAGAACUGUCAUAAUAGAUGCUGAAGAAACAUUGUGAAGUUAACUCGCUGUUACCAACUGUGAAGUCAUUAGCUAGAGGAAUCUUGGGCGGUCUGAAAUCUGAGAUACUGUGGAAAGAACAGAAAGAUCCUGUAUCUUUCCUAUAAUUGUUCUACUGGAAGUUGUCAUUUUACACAGGAGACAUUCUGUUUUAUUUAUUUUCUUUUGAGACAGGGUCUCACUCUGUCGCCCAGGCUGGAGUGCAGUGUUGUUACCACAGGUCACUGGUGCCUCCACUGCCUGAGGACUGCUCAAGCAAUCCUCCUGCCUCAGUCCCCUGAGGAGCUGGGGCCACAGGCCUGCACCACCAUGCCUGGCUAAUUAUUUUUAUUUGUAGAGACAAAGUCUAUCUUGCCUAGGCUGAUCUCGAACUCCUGGGCUCAAGUAAUCCUCCCGCGGUGGCUUCUCAAAGUGCUUGGGAUUACAGAUGUAAGCUACCAUGCCCGGCCUCACAGGAGACAUUUUUGAUGUCCCUCUUGACAGUCUACAAAAGUCUACAAAUCUUUUUUUUUUUUUUUUUGAGACAGGGUCUUGCUCUGUCACCCAGUCUGGAAUGCAGUGGUGCCAUCAUAGCUCACUACAGCCUGAGCUGUACUGAGCUCGAGGGAUCUUCCCGUCUCCGCCUCCUAAGCAGCUGGGACUACAGGUAAUGGAAGUGGGCAGAGAAUGAUCCUUUCCCUAGGCUCCAGUGUGUAAGAAUUAAAGAAAGAGGAAAGAAACACAAUGGCUUGAUGGUCGAGGACAGGUUUAUUUUAAAGAAAACAAACCCAAGAGUGGCUUCUGGCUGAGUUAGAUCAGAGGCAUGCUCUCUUACAGACUAAGAGUUUUUAAGGAUUCAGGGUGGGAGAGUUUAUCAGAGGCUUGGACUGCUUCUGUGUCUCUUUAGGUGUGCUUAUCUGGGAGGGAGUUGUGUGUCUGUUUCCAUACAUCUUCCUGCAGCUGCAGGCAUACCCCCAGGUCUGCUUUUAGCUUCCCUAUCUUAGUGCACCUGAAGGGAAAGAAUGUGCUUAUUAAGGCCCACUGUUAUACUGGGGCCCAAUGUAUGAGGGUGAAGUUUGGCAAUUACCCAAGAGACUUUCCCCCCACCUCCCUCUGUGCCUGAGCUGUCUCAUCUAUGUUUUACUGUCUGCUCUUUCUGUCUGCUUGUUGUUAGAAGAGAAGUGAUUUUCUUGAAAUGCAUGAGGCUGGAAAGGGAGCUGGCACUUAAAGUGGCGGUGUUUGUCCGAGAGGAUGGUGCUCCUGCUCUGUCACAGUGGGCAUGGGGAUUCAGGCCACUGCCACCGAAUUUCAAGAGCCCAAGCACAGAGCCCAGAACUAAAUUGUGAGGGUUUAAAAAAAAAAAAAGCUUUAUUGAAGUAUAAUUGACAUACAAUAAACUUGAAUAUU